RNAcentral lists this ribosomal RNA (465 nucleotides) under uncultured bacterium. RNAcentral describes it as "bacterial SSU rRNA". It matches the Rfam family "Bacterial small subunit ribosomal RNA", at positions 28 to 507 of the family's 1533-position model. The record is from RNAcentral.
GACGAACGCUGGCGGCGUGCCUAACACAUGCAAGUCGAACGGAGAUAUGAUUUCGGUUGUAUCUUAGUGGCGAACGGGUGAGUAACGCGUGAGCAACCUGACUCUUAGAGGGGGAUAACACCCGGAAACGAGUGCUAAUACCGCAUAAGACCACGACAUGGCAUCAUGACGAGGUCAAAGGAGCAAUCCGCUGAGAGAGGGGCUCGCGUCCCAUUAGAUAGAUGGCGGGGUAACGGCCCACCAUGUCAGCGAUGGGUAGCCGAGCUGAGAGGCUGAUCGGCCACACUGGAACUGAGACACGGUCCAGACUCCUACGGGAGGCAGCAGUGGGGAAUAUUGGGCAAUGGGCGCAAGCCUGACCCAGCAACGCCGCGUGAGGGAAGAAGGCUUUCGGGUUGUAAACCUCUGUCCUUGGUGACGAAAAAAAUGACGGUAGCCAAGGAGGAAGCCCCGGCUAACUACGUG